This 21250-nucleotide long non-coding RNA is filed under the name Panax ginseng (ginseng). RNAcentral describes it as "long non-coding RNA (PGIN_LNC000605)". The record is from RNAcentral. Lineage: Eukaryota; Viridiplantae; Streptophyta; Magnoliopsida; Apiales; Araliaceae.
AAGCUUGCAAGUAACCAUAACAAUGAUUAAGAGAGAGAAGAGGAGAGAUGUAUUAGGAGGAAGUAUACUUACAUAUGAUAUAUCUAUAUAAUUUUCUAACAACUAAAAAAAUCUAUUUUCUUUCUCUUUCAUUUAUUACUUCCAAGCUAGCUAAAAAAAAAAGAGAGAGAGACAGAAAGGAAUGAGUAUACGGCUGCUACUUAAAAGGAGACGGGAGAAGAAAGUUCAUGCUACUUCACUUCAUAAGCUACCUUAGAAGAAGGAGAAUAUCCACCUAAAUAAAAGGUAUAAAAAAUCUAACUAUAAAUUAGUUAAUUAAUUUUGUUUUGUUUGAUUUUGGUGAAAUAAUGGGUUAGUGUUCUUGAAGUUUAAAAAUCUUGAUUUUCAUGUUAAUGAGUGUUUCAAGUAUGGAUUUAACCAUUUUGGGUGUUUAAAUGUUGAUAAAAAGGAAGAAAAGAAAAAUAGGUUUUGUAGUUUAAAAAACCCUAAUCUUUCUCUAAAUUAAAAAUCCACCAUUUGAAAUCUACACCUUCUUUUUGCGAUCUGUCAAAGAGGAGUGCUAGAUAUGUAAGUUAACUGCUAAACCCAAGUGGUAGCACUCAAAAUUGUUUAUUUAACAAGCCUUGGCAGCCAUUUUAAUACAAACAGUCCAAAUUUUUCAAAAAGGGGAAAUAGGCUAUUUUGGAUCAGUUCAUCCCAGGGGCAGUUUUGUCAUUUUUCUUAACUUUAAAAAUUUGGUAGGGUAGUAUGAUGAGUUAUCUAGAUCCUGUCCAAAGAUGGUUAUUUUUGGAUGUAUAGAAUGAGAGUUAUGGAUUUUACAAGGAAUGACUAUUUUAAAAGUAAACCAAAAUAACUUUUUUCGUGUAACUCCUAAAAUUGUGAAAUUUUUACUGGAGGUACAUAUACAUAACAGGAACAUCUCCUGUAAAUUUUGUAAUUUUUGGACUUAAAAACUGUUCAUGAUAAUUGUUGAAGAUCUGACUAUUUUGGUCUUUUUAAAAAUAGUAAAUGAAAACCUAAAAUUUCAAAAAAAUUAUAUGUUCAUCUUGAUACCAUGUACUGAUAUUUUCCAGAAAAUAAGAGUUUUCAGAACAAUUUUAGUAUUUUUCAUGGAUGUGUUUGAGUUAUGAAUAAAUAAGAAUAAUAAGUUAUGUGAUGUCAUAAAUGGAAAAAAGUAAUUUUAUGACUUAAAACCCUAAAUAUGAUGUUUCCAGAUUUUUGGAGGGUAUUUUGGACGUCAUUUUUGAUGAGAUUUUAUAUUUAUGGCAUAUUAGGGUUGUUAAAUAAAGAAAUUAGUAAAGCGUAAACAAUCAGAAUAAAUUGUUUAUUAGUAUAAUAAAUGAUUUAAAUAUUAUUAAGAGAUUAAUAAUAUUAGAUUAUGAUAUUAUUAAGUAAUUAAUAAUAUUUAGAUGAGAAUUAAAUUAAAAUAUUAUUAAAUGAUUAAUAAAUAAUAAUUUAAAAUAUUAUUAAAUGAUUAAUAAUAUUAGAUUAAAGUUAAAUAAUAAUAUUAUUAAAUGAUUAAUAAUAUUAUUACUUGAUUAAAAUAUUAUUAAAUGGUUGAUAAUAUUUAUGAAUGGUUAAGAUAUUAAAUAUUGAUUUAAAUAUUAUUAAUUGAUUAAUAAUAUUAGUAAUUGGUUAAGAUGUGAUUAAUAUACGGAAUAUUAUUAAGUGAUUAAUAAUAUUAUCAAGUGACUAAAAUAUUAUUAAAUAAUUACUAAUAUUAAUAAGGGAUUAAAAUAUUAUUAAAUGGUUAAUAAUAUUAGAAAGUGAAUAAAAUAUUAUUAAAUAAUUAAUGAUAUUAGACAAUAGUUUAAGACAAUGGUUAUAUGGUAAUAGUAUUACCAAAGAAUGAUAAUAUUCCUAAUGAGUAAGGUAUUAUUGAAUGUUUGAUUACAUGUUAGAUAAUUUAUUACAAGAAUAGUAGUGUUAUGAGUUAUAAUAUGUUAUUCUAAUUGAGAGAUCAAUAUUAUUAAUGAUAGGUCUUUCAAAUUGUGUAGCAGUAGUCAAUGACCAAGGAAAGUUUUCUAACUCAAACUUGAGUUAUUAUUUUCCAAGCAUGUUAGUGUGUAAUUAUUGAUGAUUAUUCCAUAUCUAAGAUUGUCAUUGAAUAUUCGUAUGUAUUGCAAUUUCUUUAACUCAAAUCCGAAUUAUUAUUUACCAUCAUGUUAAGUGGGUAAUUAUUACUGAUUAUACCACAUCUAAGAUUAUUAUUGAUUAUUCGUAAUUAGUGCAAGUUCAUUAACUCAAAUUUAGUUUUAAAAUUUCAAAAGUGUGACUGGUGAAUAACUAUUGUUGGUUAUUCACAUCUAUAAAUAUUAUUGUUGAUUGCAAAUAGUGCAAUUGAUUUCUGUCUAUUAUUGAACUGUUUAUGACUUAUGUCUCAGCUAAUUGUUUUGGCGAGACUAAUGAUUGUUGAAACUUGAUACGUUCUAGUAUUUGAACUAAGUUGUUAUUAAAAGAUCAAUGCUAAUUAUUUCGGCCAGAUCAAUAUAGAUAUUAUGUUGAAAUCUUUAGCAUUUCUUUAAAUUCAAGCCAUAUUAUUGUGGUACGAACUCUUGAUGUAAGACUGAGAUGAACAACCCUUAUAUAAAAGGGACUUUAGGGUCGGACAUCCGGCUAUUGUGCUAUUUUUGAGUAUCAUGUAUAAUAUAGGGUACAAUGAAGCUGAUCACUUCAUGUGCUUGCAGAGGAGUAUGAUUUAAUCUUUAUGGUUGUAACGCCCGAGAAAAUCGAAUUUUUAUGACUAUUAAAUUUUUAUUUGAUUAUGUGAAUUAAAUGAAUUUAAUUGAUUGUUAUGUGAGUAAGCUAUGUGAAGGUCGUUCUAUGACCUAGAAUGUGCUAACGUGGUUAGUAUUCUGGCUUCGUGCUAGAAUUAUUUGUUUGGAAUUUCCAAGACAAAAAAAACUGUUUUAUAAGAAAUUUCUAUAUAAAUACUAUUCAUCCGUUUCUGUUCGGGAAAUUAUUUUGAAAUUCCGAGAAACACGUAAUGAUGGAAUAUCGUGAUAAGAUGGAAUAUCUGAUAAUAUUUCAUUUAUGACAAAUGUAGUUUUCGCCUGCAGACUUAAAACCUAAGGAUUGAGUAUAUUGAUUUCCAAGAAGGAAAUGAUAUGCGUAGAAGAAAUUGUGUUAAGGUUAAUGCGAGUGUUAUACAAGUAUGAUACUAUUUAGUAUCUAUGUAUAAUACGUUGAGUAAAUACGAAGUACAAUACGAUUAUUGUACGUGUAGUAUACAGAAAGAAUACGUGAAUUAUACGUGUAGAAUACGAUUCGUAUUAUAGGAUUAAGAUUAAGUCUUAAUGAAUAAGUCAUUUGAGUUGGAUUUCUAUUAGUCCAAUUAUUAAAUGACCAAGCCCAAGGAGAUUUUUGAGUUGAGCCAAAGUCAAGGCCCAAUGUUUAUUUAGUUAAGCCCAAUUCAUUUAAACCGAACCGUGGAUCGAUCCAGUGGGUCACCGAAUGGGUAAAACCCAUGGGGCAACCCAUGGAAUGUCACUUUGCAAGUGGUGGGCCGGCUACUUGGAGUGGAAGCCAAGCAUAAGGCUUGGUCACCAAGUAUUUUACUUGGUGACCAAGAGUGAAUAGUAAGGAGGUGAUGGUUCAUUGUCCAAAUUACCCUCCAUUCUCAUUUCCUAUAAAUAGAAAGCUAGGUUGAUUCAUUUUGGAGUUUUGAAAUUUGCCAACCUAGAUUAUUUGAGAGAGAAAGAGAGCUAGACUUAUAAAACAUACACUUUGGAAGCUUGAUCUUCUAGUUUUCGAAGAGAGUUUCACAAGGAUUCUUAAGGUAUAAUCCUUACCUUUCAUCUCCAUCUCUUUUUGAUUUUUCUUUUAUCUUGAAGAAUCAUAGAUGGGUAGUAUAUGUCUUGUAUAGGAGAUUAAUGAUGGCUUAUCAUAGAUUCAAUCUCUACAAGUCAUGAGAUUAUAUAAAUCAUAAGGUUUAAUACAGUUUUGAACCAUGAAAAUAUUGUUUGUUGAGAUUGAUCGUUUAUAAACGAUUGAACUCCAUCAAUACGUUAAUAUUUGCACCUUGUUUGGUUAGGAUGUAGAUAUGAAAUCCAUGGAGUAUUCCAUGUGAUUGGCUUAGAGAACCCUAGUAACGAAGUUAUGGCGAAUUUUAUGUAAUUAGACGUUAAACGUCGAAAACGUUGAAAUCUGGAUUAGAGGUUAAAAGUUACCAUGAGACUUGAAAACGUUGGUUUUCAAUGUCAACACGUGAGAUAGGGUGAUUAAGAGUUGUGGGUUUGAGAAUCGUCGGAUUCUGACUUAAAACAAAGAAAACAAGCAUUGAACGCUCUUUAACGUUUACGAACGUCUAAAAAUGAACUCAAUAGUGAAUUUUGAGUUAUCGGAUUCGAAAGUUUCAAAUUCUUAUAUGAAUGCGUAGAUUAUGUUAUUUAGGACGUGUAAACUUUUGAACGGACAAAAUUGGGCUUAUAACGAAGAAGUUAUGGCCCCGGGAAUUUCACAAAGUUUUUCAAAAUUUGUUGGAAUCUGGUACUGAGGUCUGGCGCCGCGGCGCCAGACAUAGUGUUAAAUGUCGUGCCGCAGCACCGACACAGUAAACUUGAGUACUACUAAAUGGCGCUGCAGUGCCACUGUUUCGCGUCACAGCGCCGCGACCGAGGCCCAGACACUGCUAACUGGCACCGCAGCACCAGUCUAGUACUACAUAGGCCGCGCUGUAGCACGAGUUCAAGAAUGUUGUUAGUGACUUAGGUUUUGAACUUCAUUUGUUCAUGAACCUAAAGGGGUAAUGUUUGUACACUUCAUAAGUGUAUUAAAGCUAUUCCUAUACUACCUAUACUAAGGUAUAUGGUAUUGAACUUAGGAGCUGAAUGCAUGUUAAUGAGUUAUGAGUGAUGAACAACGUUGGUACCUCGCCGACAAUGUUAGAGUCCGAUUAAUAACUAAGUUGGUUAAUAAGCCGGGAUGAAGGGUAAAAAGUCAAGUUGACUUUAUUAUUGAUAUUAAGUUAACUAAGACAUAUAAGAGAAAGAAGCUUGUAGAAACAAUGUGAACAUUUGUUUGAUAGCUAAUUAAAGUGUGCUAAUGUGAAUAUAUCAUGUAGAUUCUGUAAAGGCUGUGGUCAGUCGAUUAAAUUAUUUGAAGAUGCUGAAAGGCAAGUUUUCUUAACGCUUGUCUAACUUCCAUGUUAGCCAAGUUUUAUGUGAUUCGUUGAACUGGAUUGCAAGACUUGUUUUAAAGAAAGGGUCGAUCCCAGAUUUUAAUUUGGCUAGGCUAUUCGUAAUAUAUAGAUUGAUUAUGAUUCAUAUCUUUCUAUAUAGAAAUGUUCAACGCUAUCAUAUGCCAAGUGAUUGGUACGGAUGUGAAGGUAAGGUUUGUCUAUGAACAAACAAAAGUAUUUUUCAUCGAUUAUUCGAUGGGCACACGAGUUUGCCAAAAAAUAUUAAACGUAAAUACGUUUAAUGAAUGAGUGUUGAUCAACAUAGAGUACUAUAGGCUGAUCACCUAGAAGUGCUCGUAAGUUAUCUGAUGAACGGCCUUAGUGCUGUGGACUCCUUUUCAAGUAUGAAAAUUGAAAGUUAUUGUUCAUGGUCUAUCGACCGGUUCAGAAUUCCUAAUCUAUUCUAUACUUUGGGAAUUGAUGUUAUGAACUAUUAAAGUAUUAUUGAUUCAUAAUACUUCAUAACUAUUGUUCGGUUAUGUCGAAAUUGUUAUAUAAUUCACGAAUGUGGUAUUAUUGUUAUCAUUGAUUAAACUUGCUGAGCUGUCAUGCUCACUUCUUGCAUGAAUUAUAUAACUGCAGUUAAGGAUGAACAUACUAUGAAUGUCAAGAGAGAUAAGGGCAAAGCUAAGAUGGAUGCUUAGACAUUGUGUAAUAGUUUAGUAAGUUUGUAUGUAUUAUACAUUAUGAACAAUGAACGAUGUAACCGGUUUAUGAACCUGGAAAGUAUUUAUACUUUGAUUGUAAUAAGAAGAUAGUAAUUACAUUCAUUUUGUUUUAUUUCAAUGGAAUGAUUGUAUGGAUGUUAGUACAGUGGAGCACCAUAUGUCGAGUUGAAAGAUACCCGAAUUUGGGGGCGUCACAGGUUGGUAUCAAAGCCUUAGGUUAUAAAACUUAAGGGGGGGAAAAACUUAGGCUAAUAAUCUCGUAAGGAAGGUAAAGUCCGAGGAAUGAAAUUCAAGUCCAUUGAAUUAAUAAGGUAUUGAGAUAACUCAGUAUCGAAAGGAUUAAAAGAUGGAAAUUAAUCUUAAAGAUAUUAAAUGUGAUUUAUGCUUAUACUAUUGUGUAUUAUGUACUAAUCAACGUGUUAUGUGUUUUUAGAUGUCAACCGAUAGCUUGAUGUUUAGAAACAUGGAAAUGAUAAGUGAGGAUUCAGUGAAUCAAGUUGAGAUAGUACCAAUGCCAGUGGCGGAGGUACCAAUAGUUGUACUAGAUGACUCAGACAUUGAGGAGUACAUCUCUGAGGAGGAAUACUCUGAGGAGAAUAUGGGUUUAGCAUCAUACCUUAACGAGAUGCUAGACGUGGAGGAGGAAAUGGAGGUGACAUCGGUUAAUACAAUGGUGCCUACUCAGGAGCCGACACCUCCGGAUGCAAUGAGAGCAUUGUAUCUGUCUGUGUUGGAUAGGAAUGUGCAUCUGCGCACAGUAGUAGAGACUCAGAUUGAAGAGAUAACUGCCCUUUAUGAGGCGAAAGAAUCUGCAGAGGCAGACUUUGAGUCAGAGCACGAUGAGAAAGUGCUUAUGACUGAUAAGGCUCGUGACUAUAAGGAUGAGGUCCUUGAGCUACAAAAGAAACUGGUUGAGAAAGACCAGAAGAUAGCUAGGAUGUCAUACAUCCACGAAUGCGCUCAUGAGGAUUUCAAGCUGAAAAUUGCUUGUUAUUCUAUUGAGUCAGGGUAGACUCGACAUACCAUAAGUUGAGAUAUAGUGUCGAUUCUGGCAAAUCAGAAAUAUGAGAAUGUCGUUCGACAGUGUUAGUAGAUCGUUAGAUCUUUUUGUAUAUGGCGGUAGUGACGUAAAGCCCUCUUUUGUAUAAUUAAAGGGUAGUCUUUUUGUAAAUCCCAAUUUUUGUAGAAGGCAAUCGCGGGAUAGUAUGUAAUAGCUUUUGGCUAAGGGAACAUGAUGUAAAUAGUUUUGACUAUGAAAGCAUAUUUAUAUAAUGAAGUUUUUAUUAAAUGUGCUUGUUGUGGUAUGAAUGGUUGUUAUUAAUUGAGAAUGAUAACCGAGCUGUUAAAUAUAUAAUAACGAAGCUUUAUUUAUUUAAUUAGAAUUAUGCCGCCGAGAAGGAGACAACGUAACUAAGAGGCCGAAUCUCAUAAUGAGAAUCAGGGGGUCCUAAUAACCCUAUGCAAGAGUUCUUUAAUUUAUUAACGGCUGCAUUUAACCAAGUGGAGGGUGGGAUUCCUGUAGCUCCUGGGGUAGCAAGAACAACUACCUUUAAGGACUUUUAAAGUGUGGUUCCUCCCAAGUUCCGAGGAACGAUGGACCCAUUAGAAGCCCAGACGUGGGUAGAGAGAUUGAGAAGGCGUUUGUGAUAACAAACGUAAGUGAGGUGCAAAAGACUUCAUUUGCGACUUACAUGAUGAAGGGGGAAGCCAACUACUGGUGGGAGGCUCACCAGGGUGGCACUAGGACAGAGGCUGUUACGUUGGAACAGUUUAAGAAGGUCUUCUUCGAAAACUAUUUCCCUACUAGCAUGCAGGGUAGGAUGGAAAUUAAGUUCCUAGAACUUAAGUAGGGGGAUAUGACGGUUCCCCAGUAUGCCGCCAAGUUUAACGAAUUGGCGAGAUUUGCUCAACACCAGGUGGAUAUAGAGGAGAGAAAGGGGCGCAGGUUUGAGCAGGGCUUAAAACCCUGGCUCUAUAGUAGGAUAUCAGUUUUCCAGAGUGCUUUCUACGGGACCAUUCUGGAAAAGGCGAUAAUAGUUGAAGGUGGUGGUGAGGCAUUGUCUUAGUACCAUAAAGAGUGAAAGAUCAAGAACAAGUUAGAGGAGGUAGUAAGGCCGAAGUUGCAAGCGGAAGUGGUAACUUGCCAAAGAGAAUGAAUUUUAACCCUGGGAAUACCGGGGUAAAGCAGGGAGAUCCCAAAUGGAGGAUGAAAGCAUGUAAGACACGCGGAAAUCCUCACAUUGGAGUCUGUUUAAAGGGGAAAGCAGUAUGCUACAACUGUGGGCAGGAGGGGCAUUUGUCACCCAACUGUCCUAACCCUAAGAAGAACCAGGGAUGUUUUGUCUGUGGGUCAGUGGAUCACAUGGCAAGAAAUUGCCCGAAGAAGGGUUUAGAGGGGAAUAAGAGUUAUGGUAGGUAAAUUAGCCAUUACUGGACCAACACCAUCGGUGGGUAGACCCUCAGUUCGUACGUUUAAUAUGACUGUCCAAGAUGCGGUUGCAUCAACGGAUGUGGUAGCAGGUAUCAUUCCGGUCAAUAAGAUAAAUACUUAUGUGCUAUUUAACUCGAGUGCUACUUGUUCUUUUAUAACAUAUGAAUUUGCUAAGCGAUUAGGUUUAAUCCCUGAGAAGUUACCUAUACCUUUAGACGUUAAGGUAGAAAAUGAAAAGAUAAUCCCCAUUGAACAUAUUCAUAAGGAUUGUUGCGUAGAAAUUAGAGGAAAUAAGUUAUCGGUAGAUUUGGUACCGAUAAAAUUUAUAGUUAAAAGAAUUUGAUGUAAUUUUUGGUAUGGAUUGGUUGAUUAACCAUAAGGAGAUAAUAGAUUACCAUAAGAAAAGUGUAAACCUUCGGCUUUCUAGGAAAACCAAGGUAGUGUUCUUCGGUAGUAAAUCACCGAGACGCUCUUGUUGUCUGUCUAUAACACAAGCUAGGAAGAUGUUGAGAAAAGGGUGUGUAGGUUAUCUAUGUCAUGUUGUGGAUACCCAAAGAGUGGGAACAUCCUUGGAACAGAUACCUAUAGUGCAAAAGUUCGCGGAUGUAUUUUCGGAGGAUUUACCGGGUAUUCCACCGGACAGGGAGGUAUAGUUUGUAAUUGAUCUGUUACCGGGAACGGCACCAGUUUCAAGGGCACCAUAUCGGAUGGCGCCAGUUGAGAUGAAGGAGUUAAUGGUUUAAUUACAAGAACUAUUAGAUAGGAAGUACAUUCAACCAAGUGUGUCUCCUUGGGGAGCACCAGUGUUUUUUGUAAAGAAGAAGGAUGGGUCGUUAAGACUUUGUAUUGACUAUCGAGAGUUGAACAAGUUGACGAUUAAGAAUAAAUAACUGUUGCCCAGGAACGAUGAUCUAUUUGAUCAGUUGAAAGGGGAAAAGUAUUUUUCUAAGAUAGAUUUGCGCACGGGGUAUCAUCAGUUAAAGGUGAGGAAGGAGGAUGUACCUAAUACGGUGUUCAGAACUCGUUAUGGUCAUUACGAGUUUCUGGUAAUGUCGUUUGGGUUAACUCAUGCGCCAACCGCAUUUAUAGAUAUGAUGAACAGAGUGUUCAAACAAUAUUUGGACAAGUUCGUAGUAGGGUUCGUUGAUGAUAUUCUAGUCUAUUCUAAGACGUCAGAAGAUCAUGUAGAACAUUUAAGAAUAGUGUUGGAAACACUAAGGAAGGAGAAGUUGUAUGCGAAAUUCACAAAGUGUGAAUUUUGGCUUGAGCGAGUGCAGUUUCUAGGGCAUGUUAUCGAUAAGGAUGGCAUUUUCGUAGAUCCAACAAAAGUAGAAGCAGUUAAUGAAUGGGAGCAACCGAAAAUGCCAACUGAGGUUCGGAGUUUUCUAGGGUUAGCGGGAUACUAUAGAAGGUUCAUUCCGGACUUUCUAAAAUAACUACUCCAUUGACAAAUCUGACAAGAAAGUCGAUGAAGUAUGUGUGGACUGAAAAAUGUGAGAACAGUUUUCAAGAGUUGAAAAAGAGGUUGAGUGAGGCACCUGUAUUGUCCUUACCAGAUGAUACAGGGAACUUUGUAGUAUAUAGCGAUGCUUCACAUAAGGGACUGGGUGGCAUGCUCAUGUAACAUGGCAAAGUCAUUGCGUAUGCGUCACGUCAAUUGAUGGAUUAUGAAAAGGUCUAUCCUACUCAUGAUUUGGAAUUGGCAGCUGUAAUUUUUGCCUUAAAAAUAUGGAGGCAUUAUCUUUAUGGUGAGAAGUGUGAGAUAUACACGGACCAUAAAAGUCUGAAAUAUAUCUUUACAUAGAAGGAGUUGAACAUGAGACAGAGAAGGUGGUUAGAGUUAAUAAAGGAUUAUGACUGUGAUAUCUUAUAUCAUCUGGGGAAAGCAAAUGUAGUAGCCGAUGCGUUAAGUAGGAAGGGUAGAGAGAAACUGUCAAUGUGAACAACUCAGAAUGAGUUGAUAACAGCGAUGGCAAGCAUGGAGCUAGAAGUUAAGUUACCAGAAGAAGCGGGGGAAAUGUUAUUUUCCAUGGAAAUCCAACCGACCAUAGCGGAACUGGUUAGGGGAGUAAAAUUGAGUAACGAGGACUGCCAGCAGAUACAGAAGAGGAUAGAAGAUGAAAAGAAGACUAAGUAUAACCUCGAUAAGGAGGGAUUACUUCAUUUUGAAGGAAGAAUUUGGGUUCCGAAUGAUCCCGAAUUAAAGGAAGAAAUAAUGAUGGAGGCUCAUAGUUUGAGGUACUCGAUACAUCCCGGUAGUACGAAGAUGUAUCAAGACCUUCGUCAGAACUUUUGGUAGCUGAACAUGAAGAGGGAGAUAGCAGAAUACGUUAGUAGGUGCUUAACUUGUCAAAAAGUUAAGGCUGAACACCAACGACCUAGCGGGUUGUUGCAACCGUUAGAAAUUCUAGAGUGGAAGUGGGAGCACAUCACGAUGGACUUUGUGGUGGGACUUCCGACAACCAGAAAAGGAUAUGAUGCUAUUUGGGUGAUAGUGGAUCAAUUGACAAAAUCAGCUCAUUUUCUACCAAUAGGAGUCAAGUAUAACUUGGAUCAGUUAGCUAAGCUGUAUGUCAAGGAAAUUAUUUCCAGACACGGAGUACCUGUUUCGAUCGUGUGAGAUCGUGAUCCACGAUUCACAUCGAACUUUUGGAGGAGUUUGCAAGAGAAAAUGGGAACGCAAUUAAGAUUGAGUAUGGCGUAUCAUCCUCAGACGGAUGGUCGGAGUGAGAGGACAAUUCAAAUGCUAGAAGAUAUGUUAAGAUCUUGCGUUAUGGAUUUCAAAGGGAGUUGGGACGAAUAUCUGCCGUUGGUGGAAUUUUUGUACAACAAUAGUUUUCACGCUAGUAUAGGCAUGUUGCCUUACGAAGCGUUGUGUGGAAGGAAGUGCCGAACUCCGUUGUGUUGGGAUGAGGUGGGUGAACAUCGGAUGUUGCGACCUGAGAUGGUACAGCAGACGGCGGACAUGGUGAAAUUAAUACGUACUCGAUUAGUUGUUGCUCAAGAUAGGCAGAAGAAGUAUGCGAAUCCUCACAGAGAAAAUAGAGAAUUCGAUGUAGGAUCCUUUGUUUUUCUAAAAGUAUCGCCUUGGAAGGGGAAGAUACGUUUUGGGAAGAAAGGGAAGUUAAGUCCAAGGUUUGUAGGACCUUUUGAGAUUUUAAGAAGAGUAUGAGAGGUAGCCUAUGAAGUGGCUUUACCUCCUGAGAUGGAACGCAUUCAUAAUGUGUUUUAUGUGUCAGUGUUGCGUCCUUAUAAACCGGACUAUAAACACGUAAUAGAGUAUGAAUCUAUUCAGAUAGAGAAAGACUUGUCCUACGAGGAACUUUCAGUUCAAAUUAUUGAUAGGAAAGAACAAGUUUUAAGAAAUAAGGUAAUACCUUCCGUCAAGGUGUUAUGGAGAAACCACAAUGCUGAAGAAGCAACGUGGGAGCUCGAGAGUAAAAUGAAGGAAGAUUUUCCUCAUUUAUUUAUAUAAUUAUAAGCUAAGAUUCUGGGGACAGAAUCCUUAUAAGGGGGAGAGAAUGUAACGCCCGAGAAAAUCGGAUUUUUAUGACAAUUAAAUUAUUAUUUGAUUAUGUGAAUUAAAUGAAGUUAAUUGAUUGUUAUGUGAGUAAGCUAUGUGAAGGUCGUUCUAUGACCUUGAAUGUGCUAACGUGAUUAGUAUUCUGGCUUUGUGUUAGAAUUAUUUGUUUGGAAUUUCCAAGACGAAAAUAACUAUUUUCUAAAAAAUUUCCGUAGAAACACUAUUCAUCCGUUUCUGUUCGGGAAAUUAUUUUGAAAUUUCGAGAAACGUGUAAUGAUGGAAUAUCGUGAUAAGAUGGAAUAUCUGAUAAUAUUUCAUUUAUGACAAACACAAUUUUCGCCUGCAGACUUAAAACCUAAGGGUUGAGUAUAUUGAUUUCUGAGAAGGAAAUAAUAUGCGUAGAAGGAAUUGUGUUAAGGUUAAUGCAAGUAAAUACAAAGUACAAUACGACUAUUGUACGUGUAGUAUACGGAAAGAAUACAUGAAUUGUACGUGUAGAAUACGAUUCGUAUUAUAGAAUUAAGAUUAAGUCUUAAUGAAUAAGUCAUUUGAGUUGGAUUUCUAUUAGUCCAAUUAUUAAAUGACCAAGCCCAAGGAGAUUAGUGAGUUGAGCCCAAGUCAAGGCCCAAUGUUUAUUUAGUUAAGCCCAAUUCAUUUAAACCGAACGGUGGAUCGAUCCGGUGGAUCACCGAAUGGGUAAAACCCAUGGGGCAACCCAUGGAAUGUCACUUUGCAAGUGAUGGGCCGACUACUUGGAGUGGAAUCCAAGCAUAAGGCUUGGUGACCAAGAGUGAAUAGUAAGGAGGUGAUGGUUCAUUGUCCAAAUUACCCUCCAUUCUUAUUUCCUAUAAAUAGAAAUCUAGGUUGAUUCAUUUUGGAAUUUUGAAAUUUUCCAACCUAGAUUAUUUGAGAGAGAAAGAGAGAUAGACUUAUAAAACAUACACUUUGGAAGCUUGAUCUUCUAGUUUUCCAAGAGAGUUUCACAAGGAUUCUUAAGGUAUAAUCCUUACCUUUCAUCUCCAUCUCUUUUUGAUUUUUCUUUUAUCUUGAAGAAUCAUAGAUGGGUAGUAUAUGUCUUGUAUAGGAGAUUAAUGAUGGCUUAUCAUAAAUUCAAUCUCUACAAGUCAUGAGAUUAUAUAAAUCAUAAGGUUUAAUACAGUUUUGAACCAUGAAAAUAUUGUUUGUUGAGAUUGAUCGUUUAUAAAUGAUUGAACUCCAUUAAUACGUUAAUAUUUGCAUCUUUUUUGGUUAGGAUGUAGAUAUGAAAUCCAUGCAGUAUUCUAUGUGAUUUUGCUUAGAGAACCCUAGUAACGAAGUUAUGGCGAAUUUUAUGUAAUUAGACGUUAAACGUCGAAAACGUUGAAAUCUGGAUUAGAGGUUAAAAGUUACUAUGAGACUUGAAAACAUUGGUUUUCAAUGUCAACACGUGAGAUAGGGUGAUUAAGAGUUGUGGGUUUGAGAAUCGUCGGAUUCUGACUUAAAACGAAGAAAACGAGCAUUGAACGCUCUUUAACGUUUACGAACGUCUAAAAAUGAACUCAAUAGUGAAUUUUGAGUUAUCGGAUUCGAAAGUGUCAAAUUCUUAUAUGAAUGCGUAGAUUAUGUUAUUUAGGACGUUUAGGCUUUUGAACAGACAAAAUUGGGCUUAUAACGAAGAAGUUAUGGCCCCGGGAAUUUCACAAAGUUUUUCAAAAUUUGUUGGAAUCUGGUACUGAGGUCUGGCGCCGCGGCGCCAGACAUAGUGUUAAAUGUCGUGCCGCAGCACCGACACAGUAAACUUGAGUACUACUAAAUGGUGCUGCAGUGCCACUGUUCCGCGUCACAGCGCUGCGAUCGAGGCCCAGACACUGCUAACUGGCACCGCAGCGCCAGUCUAGUACUACAUAGGCCGCGCCGCAGCGCGAGUUCAAGAAUGUUGUUAGUGACUUAGGUUUUGAACUUCAUUUGUUCAUGAACCUAAAGGGGUAAUGUUUGUACACUUCAUAAGUGUAUUAAAGCUAUUCCUAUACUACCUAUACUAAGGUAUAUGGUAUUGAACUUAGGAGCUGAAUGCAUGUUAAUGAGUUAUGAGUGAUGAACAACGUUGGUACUUCGCCGACAAUGUUAGAGUCCGGUUAAUAACUAAGUUGGUUAAUAAGCCGGGAUGAAGGGUAAAAAGUCGAGUUGACUUUAUUAUUGAUAUUAAGUUAACUAAGACAUAGAAGAGAAAGAAGCUUGUAGAAACAAUGUGAACAGUUGUUUGAUAGCUAAUUAAAGUGUGCUAUGUGAAUAUAUCAUAUAGAUUCUGUAAAGGUUGUGGUCAGUCGAUUAAAUUAUUUGAAGACGCUGAAAGGCAAGUUUUCUUAACGCUUGUCUAACUUCCAUGUUAGCCAAGUUUUAUGUGAUUCAUUGAACUGGAUUGCAAGACUUGUUUUAAAGAAAGGGUCGAUGCCAGAUUUUAAUUUGGCUAGGCUAUUCGUAAUAUAUAGAUUGAUUAUGAUUCAUAUCUUUCUAUAUAGAAAUGUUAACGCUAUCAUAUGCCAAAUGAUUGGUAUGGAUGUGAAGGUAAGGUUUGUCUAUGAACAAACAAAAGUAUUUUUCAUCGAUUAUUCGAUGGGCACACGAGUUUGCCAAAAAAUAUUAAACGUAAAUACGUUUAAUGAAUGAGUGUUGAUCAACAUAGAGUACUAUAGGUUGAUCACCUAGAAGUGCUCGUAAGUUAUCGGAUGAACGGCCUUAGUGCUGUGGACUCCUUUUCAAGUUUGAAAAUUGAAAGUUACUGUUCAUGGUCUAUCGACCGGUUCAGAAUUCCUAAUCUAUUCUAUACUUUGGGAAUUGAUGUUAUGAAGUAUUAAAGUAUUAUUGAUUCAUAAUACUUCAUAACUAUUGUUCGGUUAUGUCAAAAUUGUUAUAUAAUUCACGAAUGUGGUAUUACUGUUAUCAUUGAUUAAACUUGCUGAGCUGUCAUGCUCACUUCUUGCAUGAAUUAUAUAACUGCAGUUAAGGAUGAACAUACUAUGAAUGCCAAGAGAGAUAAGGGCAAAGCUAAGAUGGAUGCUUAGACAUUGUGUAAUAGUUUAGUAAGUUUGUAUGUAUUAUACAUUAUGAACAAUGAACGAUGUAACCGGUUUAUGAACCUGGGAAGGAUUUAUACUUUGAUUGUAAUAAGAAGAUAGUAAUUACAUUCAUUUUGUUGUAUUUCAAUGAAAUGAUUGUAUGGAUGUUAGUACAGUGUAGCACCAUAUGUCGGAUUGAAAGAUACCCGAAUUUGGGGGCGUCACGAUGGUUAAUUGAUACUCUUUAGGUAAUUCAGCACUAUAUAACUAAUAAUCCUUGAUUAGUUCAAGAUCCAUUAUGAUCACUCAGCAUGAAAUCUAGGAAUACCCCACUUUAUUAUUGUAGUAUUAUUAUCUCUUGUUAAUCAAUUGAACAUUAUCGAAACUUCGAAAGAGUUUCACUCUUUCAUCAUUGAAUUGUUGUUUAGCAUGAAAUUCGAUAAAGUCUUGUUAAAAUAAAUUAUUUAUUCAGCUACUUCAAAAUCCAUUGAAUAUUAUUGAAUUCUUAUCAAAUUUAGACUAUAAUAUUCUUGAUUCAUAUUUCUAAUUGUAUGCUUUAACUUGCGGAGCAAACUCGUUGCUCACCCUUGCUUAAAAAUAAUAUUUCAGCAAAUGAAGAGAUAACUGGAGGGGUAGAUAAAGACGAGGGCAAGGACAAAACUCAGGAGUAGUUAUUAUAACUUUACUUAUUAUGUUGUUAUAUAUAAACCUUUUUGUAUGUAUGAAGGUAUGUAUAUUAUGUUAAGGUUAGAUAACCUGGGAUAUUGUAUUAAUUAUAUUAAUUAAUGGUAUGUAUGAUGAUAUUCAUAAAUGAAUGAGUAUUUAGAUGUUAUUUAUAUGAUGAAUCGUGAGCACCAAACAUGGGGUUAGGUAACCCCGAAUUAGGGGGCGUCACAACUAGCCCAGUAAAGAAUAUUAUGACUAAGAUAAUGUAGAAUAAAUAAUCCUUAGUACUCAAUAGUGUAAAAUCUGAUAGAAUACAAUAGACAACAAGUUUAGAUCAACAACUAUAGCAGAACAAGCAAUCUAUUAGAAGAGUAAAGUAGAGCAUGAUGUCUACUAUCUUCUAAGAUUUAAAAGUUCAUCAUUAAUAUUUUAUCUCUAUAACACAACUCAAUAAAUAUUUCACAUCAGCGAAUUAUCCAUGCACUACGCGCCAAGGAUAUUCGUUAGUAUCACCAGUGGUCAUGAUCCUGCCAAACAUCUAUCCAUCUAUGCACUAUGGGUCAAAGAGGACUUUCACCACAUCAUUUGUCUGUAACAUUACAGGUUAUAAUUAUACAAGUACACAAUUUCUGGUCAUAAUCAUACCAAUCAAUAGUCCAUCUAUGCACUACGGGCCAAAGAUGACUUUCACCACAAUAUAAGCAUGAGGAAGAUGACAAUGAUAUAAGAAAUCAAUCAAGUGAGAUCAAGGAUAAAUAUUAAAGAUUUAUAAUUCAAUUUAUCCAGAGUUUAAGAUUUUCCAAAUUGUCAGCAUGAUAAUUAAUUGUGGAGUAAAAUUUUAGAAUGAUAUUCAUGUAUCAAAAAUAAUUUGGAGAGAAAAAAAAAACCAAUUUUGUUGUGAAAAGUACCCCAUGAAUAGUGCCCCGGGUGAAUAGUAUCCCGUGAAUAAUAACCGAAUGAAUAGUACCCUGUGAAUAGUACCCCAACACGAAAAGAUUAAAAUUUAACAAGAAAUUUCAGAAAAAUAUUUUAGUGAAAUGAUACUAGAUGAAGCGCAAAAUUCAAGGAUAUUCUACUAAUUUCAGGAAGUAUAGAAGCAAUACUUAUCAAAAUAAGUGUAGAUUUAGGAAUAUGAAAUAAAAUAAUAUUACUUACAUACUAUAGAGUAUGGAAGAAAAUAAUAUUUCUUACGAAUAUUGAACGAAAAUAAUAUCCCUUACCUUAGUAAGAGAGUAAUUCCGACUGGUAUAGCGGAGAUAUUCUUGAAGAAAACUUGCAUUAUUUGCUAUACUCAAAAUAUCCUUAUGCUCAAAAGAAAUACACCCAAUAUUAUAGAAGAAGAAUUUUAUGCUUCUAGUGUGAUUUUCAUUUCUUAACUAAGCAUCCUAUUUAUAGGAGAAUGGCAGGGUACUAUUUAAAAAUAAUCACGGACGCACAGUAAAGGAAAAAUCACAGGCGCAAUCGGCUGAAUUUUUUGAUUUUUACUAUUUAUUACUGUGCAAUAAAAUAUUCUAAUAGAACAAAAACUUUAUAUAAAAUAUAAUAUAUUCUAUUUAUAAUCUAAUAUAAUGAAUAACUUUAUAUAUAAUAUAAAAAGUAUUAAGUUUUAUAUAAAAAGUUUUUAAUUUUAUUACUAUUAUAAUAAUAAUAAAAUAAAACUGAGAUAACUUUCUACCGUCGAUUUUAAAAAAAUGAGUAAGUGGGGGUCCAUGUAAUAAGCCAAACUUACAACAAAUAUUUCAUGAUAAACCCCUUUAUUUAUAUCAAAAAUUAAAUAAUUAUUUACCACAAAUCACUCAUCUUCAAUCAACACAUUUUUAAUCUUUCAACAAUUAUUCAUCAUUAAUAUUAUAACUCACAAUAUUAAUAACCAGAUCAUUCUCAGGAAAGAGGGGGCUUUCCGAUAAGGACUUCUUCAUAUUGGCGCGUAAUUAAAUAACCUAACUCAUUUCCUCGACAGAAUUUUCUAGACAUUGUCAAUAAUGCAAAUAAUAAUAUGAAUAAUUGUGUUGUCUUAAUUAUUGAUUUAAUAAUAUAAAAUAUUGUGCAGAUGAUACUCUGAUAAUAAUUGAAUCAAUAAUAUGAGAUACUAUGUAACAACUAUUGUGGCAAUAAUUGAAUAAAAUUGAGUGACUUCUUAAGUAAGCAUCAAUAAUCAGAUAUACUGUACAAUAACGUAUGCAACCAUGCAUAUUACUGUACUUUUAUCACCGGGUAUUUCAACAGUUAACGGUAAAAGUUUUGCCGUUAUUUUUAUAAAACGGUUAUUUCUGUCGCUUUCUGUAUCUGACAGUUAUUUCGUUAUGUGGGGUCCAGCAAUGACUUUGCCGUCAUACAGAUAUUCCUCGACCAAACGAAAAUUUUAUGACAACUUGCUUACUUGCAAAAUUUGCACAUAUUACUCAUAACUAUAGCAUUAUAUCAAAUCUACGCCUUAUUAUUCACAAUAACAUUUAGAGAAAAUUAAAUAUUUAUUCAUAUAAUGUUGGGAUUUUACAGGUAUGGGAUUUCAGAAAUUAAAAAUAAUCUGCAGAUGGUGCUUUAUCCAUGACCAUCUCUUAAAAUCGAAACCAAGCACCACAAAACCCACUAAAUCACCCCACAUAAGCCCAAUCUCUACCAAAUCUGUCCUUUAUAUCAUUCCUAUAUAUAUCAAACCCCAAUUUCUUCCAUUCCACACCACAUAGACAUUAAAUCCUCACAUUAUCAAACAUAAAACCUAGGGUUUUCUCAUUAAUUUUGGUUUUCAAGCAAAGAAUGAGGGGGAAGCUCUGAAAUUGGUAGUUCAUCACUUCAAUCUCAUUACAGAGUGAAGAAAUCAGUGUGGGUAAGCAUCUAACCAGAUUUUCAUCAUAUUUGGCAAUUACUCUUCAAUUUGGGACAUUUUGGGUUAUUGUGCACUCCAAGUGUUUGAAGAAUUGCACAAGUGAAAAGUUUGGGGGAUUUAUUAACUGCAUUAUGAUACAAUGGCACUGAAAACACCAGUUAAACGUCAAUAGGGUGAAGGGUCCUCACCACCAACUCGCAUUUAUGAUAAACAAAAAUUUGUCAGUGCCUUAGCGGCUGAGAAAUACGAGUACUUUGCACCAAAGGCGUUGACACCAGAGAGAGGUUUGAGGUUAGAUUCAUUCGAUGGGUAGAUAAGGAGACAAAUCAAUGAACAAGGUUGGGACACAUUCACGGAUCAGCCAUAUCUUGCAGUUUGAGAGUGGUGAAAGAGUUCUACGCAAAUACAGAUGAAAAAGCUCCAUUUGUUGCAUUUGUUCUUGGCAAAAAAGUUCUAUUCGAUCCGGAGGCUAUCAAUGAGUUUUAUAAUGUGCGAGCCCCAACUAUUUGUUAAUAUGCUCAACUUUGAGAUAACAACCCCACUUAUAAUCAGAUACUCACUGAAAUAUUAAAGCCGGGAACCACAUGGGUGAAAGGGAAGAAAGGAGGAACCCUUUUCAUGAGUAAGGACCUAAGUCGGUAUGGAAAGAUUUGGUAUGCCUUCCUUUGCGCAAAACUGUUUCCAUCCACACACACCAGUGAGGUGACCAAAGAAAAGAUGUUACUCAUGCAUGCCAUUGUGAAGGAUUUUGAUAUUGACAUUGGGACCAUCAUUAAUUUCUCGAUCAGAUGCUACUUGCGCGGGCUAUUCUCGUGAGGUUACCACACCCUUCCCUUAUAUGUGGACUGUGUUGACAGUUAGGAGUUCGAUGGUCAGUGGAUGAACCCGUGUAGCAACCACUCCAGUUACUUAAAUCACAUAUUAUUACUCGAUACUCAGUUUGCGCUGGAGGAGAGUCACAUCCUAGAGGGCUAGGAUUUAUAUUUCCUGAUGCUCUUAAAGAGGAGAAGGCCGAAGAUACCUCUGAGGAUGAUGAAUUUAAAGUUGAUGAGAUGUCUGAGGGUAUUGAGGAGACCGCAAGGGGUCAUCGGUCUACAAAGUAUAUGCUCAGCACUCAGUUCCAAAGCAUGCAUCGACAUAUUAAUGAGAGGGACAGAUAGGAGGAUAGGAAGUUGAUGAGAAUAGCAACACGACAAGAUCAUGCCUUUGUCACACAAAACGCUUUCAAUGCUUCUUUGGCAGAGGCGUUUGCAAGAAUAAAUCCCAACGCUGCUGACCAGUUUUAGUUCCCAGUUCCACAACCACUACCAGGCUAUCCACCAUCAGACUCUGACAUUGAGGAGGUUCCACCUCCUGCCUAUCUACUACAGGGAAGUCCUUUUAUGCCUUCAUGCUUUAUUUUAACAAUGAGGACAUUAUUUCUGAUAAGUUUGGGGGAGUAGUAGUGUAGUAGUAUUAGUUUUUAUCUAGUGUUGUUUAGUUCUAUUGAAUAUGUCAUUUUGCACAUGUUAGUUAGUUAGUUAGUUUUGUUUUUGUUAGUUUAUAUUAGUUCAUGUUUGCAUUACAUGUUAGUUGCAUCAUUAGUAUAGUGUAGUUAUAUUUUUUAUGUUUUUGUAGAUUAGUUGUGUAAAUACUAGUUUUCUUUUUCUACUUGAGUUAAAAAAAUCAAAAAUCUCAAAAAUAUUAGUUAGUUUAUUGUUUUUGUGUUACAUUUAGUUUAUAUGUGCAUGAUUCCAGCUUUUAGAUGGUUAAAGUUUUUUUGGGCCAAUGAUGAGAUUAGAAUUGUAUAAACAAGAAUAGUAUUGACUGUCAAGGCUUUGAUGUAAUUUCUUAUCAUGAUCUAAAUCUUUGUUUGUUUGAAACCGGUAUAAUCAGGUAAGCACUAUAAAAUGACUAUAUUGACUGAUUGGGUUUAAAUUUACACACAAUUGAUUUCUUAAGGAUAGUGCUAGUUUGAAUGAAAGAAAGUAAUGAAUAAGCGGUGAUGACUAAGUUUAGACAAAAGCUUAAGUUUAGGGGAAUUUGAUGAGUGGGUUUCAUACAUAUGAAUCAGAUGCCUAUUCGGACUUAAACAAUGCCUAAUCCAUUUAUUUUAGUAUGUUUUAAUGUGUUUGUGCUUGUUUUAUGUGCAGGUUUUAGUAUGUGUUAGCUAAGGCAUGAUGGUGGAAAUAUGGCAAGAAAGUGAAGUUAUGUAGCAGAAAUCAGUAAAGUAUAGGACAGUACCCCGCCGGGGCAGGGGUGUACACGUGUCAGAGACUUAACACCCCGCUGGGGCGGGGGUUCUUAAGCCUAAAUAGCCCGCUGGGAUGGGGGUACGUGGACAAGAAAGAGGAGUUCGGAUGCUAUUCUAAUACUGUUGUGGCAUGGAUUGGUGGACUUUGGAAGCGAUUGGGACUUAGCAGAGGACGUAUUUAGCUGUAAUUACAGAGAAUUAUGUAAAUAUAUUCUUACAUUCAUCAAUCAAUCCAUCAAGAGCAACUUACAAACCCUAAUUUGUGAAGAUCUUGGAGGAACGGAGCAAAGAAGCAAGGAACAUGAAAAUUACAAAAUUGAGUGAAGAGAAGGGUGGUUCUAUUACUAUUAUUGUUUUUUUAAUUUCAGUUUCUGUAAUUGGGAUGUUGUUUUCCUUAAUCUAUUCAGUGUUUAUUUCAUUAGCUAUGAACUAAUUAAACUUAUUAAGCUUACAAUAGAUCUUUAAGUGUAACGAUGAUUAUCAUGCUUUGAUUCUAAUUCUAUGAAGCUAUUUUUUAGUUAAUCUAUUAUGAUUUGUGCGUAAUUUAUGAAUUCACCAAUUCUAUGUGGACUUGUAUGGAUUCGAGAGAUGAGAUAUAAGUUUUGACUUAGUUAUAAUAGUAUGUGUUUAUGAUUUCUGCGUUUUGAUAGAAUUCAUGAUGUAUGAUUAGGAUAGAGAUAUACCUAUG